RNAcentral lists this long non-coding RNA (1663 nucleotides) under Homo sapiens (human). Its description in RNAcentral is "non-protein coding lnc-ANGPTL5-1:1". Lineage: Eukaryota; Metazoa; Chordata; Mammalia; Primates; Hominidae. The record is from RNAcentral.
AAACAGUACUACUAUCAUUUCUUGGGAGGAGCUUGAAGAAGUAAAAUAAGUGUUUAGUAGAAUGGAUAUUCACAAUAGUGGGUAAGUCCGUGACUAUGAACUUCAAGACCUAUUUAAGGUUAAGCAAGCCUUCCUAUGCCUGGCUACAAGGUAUAAGAGAAAAUUCUAGCAGUUGCUGACAACAACCAAGAUGGCAAAAUCAGUUUGAAAAAUUUGUGUUACUGAUGCAAUAAUUAAAAAGGAAAGACUGUAGUCUUAUACAUGAAGCAUCUUAUACCCAUGAACCUCAAUGAUGGCAGUAUCUUCAAGUUACUUGCAGAUCUCAUCCUUCUUUGCAAAAUGAUCAAUUUAUUUGAACCAGAUACAACUGAUGAAAGAGCCAUUAAUAAAAAGCUCGCCGCUUUCACUCUUUCUGAAAAUUUAAACCUAACCCAAAGUCUGUCUCGACCAUUAGUUGUACAGUGGUCAACAUCAGUGCACAGAAUCUCAAAGAAGGAAAACCUCACUUGGUCUUAGGACUUCUCUGGCAGAUCAUCUAAGUUGGUCUUUUUGAUGAUAUUGAGAUUUCUAGGAAUGAAGCUCUGAUUGCAUUGCUAAAUGAAGGUGAGGAACUAGAGAUGCUGAUGUAGCUUUCUCCUGAGGAAUUACUGCUGUAAUGGGUGAAUCAUCAUCUGGCUGAUGCAGGAUGGUGUACCAUCAACAACUUCAGCCAAGGCAGUAAGGAUUCAAGAGCCUAUUUUCAUCUGCUUACACAAAUUGACCCUAAAGGUGACUGGGAAUAUGGACUUUUCAGUCCAUCUUCAGGAUUUCAUAAGAAAAAUGAUUUGAAGUGUGCUGGACUUAUGCUUCAAGAAGUAGAUAAACUUGGCUGCAGUUUGUUACUCCUGCAGAUGUGGUUUCAGGCCAUCCUAAACUUAAUUUAGCUUUCAUAGUUAAUCUGUUUAAUAUCUAUCCAUGCCUACACAAGUUAGAUAAUAAUGACAUCAAUAUAAACUUAUUGGAGGGAGAGAGCAAAGAAGAGAGGACAUUUCAGAACUGGUGCAUUCCUUAGGAAUCAACCCAUAUAUUAAUCAUUUGUAGUUACCUUGCAGAUGCUUUAGCAAUCUUUCAGCUCUAUGAUACAAUCUGAGUGUCAGUCAACUGGAGCCAUGUCAACAAACCUCCUUAUCCUGCCCUUGGAGGGAACAUAAACAUUGAUAACUAACUAUACAGUGGAACUUGGGAAGAAUAAGGCCAAAUUCUUCUUCGUUGGCAUUGCUGGGCAGGACCUAAAUGAAGGGAAUUCAACAUUUAUUCUGGCAUUGGUUAUGGCAGCUGAUGAGAGGGUACACACUGAAUAUGAACAAAACCAAAUUCUCCUUCGUUGGCAUUGCUUGGCAGGACCUAAAUGAAGAGAAUUCAACAUUUAUUCUGGCAUUGGUUAUGGCAGCUGAUGAGAAGGUACACAUUGAAUAUGUUAUCAGAUCUUGGAAAGGUUGAAAGUGCACUUUUAAAAGUACAAAUAAAAAUACUUUUAUUUCCAGCUUCAAGAUAUGCCACUUCAGUUGGUUGUGAGAUCAGUGCCCAGAUAUAUGCAUUGCGUGUUGACCUUGUGGAAGCGAAACCAAAAAUGGUUAUGUCAGUGUUUUCUUGUUUAAUGGGAAAAGGACUGAACAGAAUAAAA